UUUUGGGAUUCCUCUCCAUUCUUACGUCACCGCGCUUUCUGAUUGGCUACCAGUCACAUUCAACAGGCUGCAUUAAAUUCUCGCUCCCAGUCGGGGAAAAGCCCUGAUUUGGAUCGGAGCGGCAACGACGAUCUACCGUAACACUCCAAACACUACAGGAUGACCUGU
Xiphophorus couchianus (Monterrey platyfish) is the source of this 168-nucleotide long non-coding RNA. RefSeq lists it as uncharacterized. Lineage: Eukaryota; Metazoa; Chordata; Actinopteri; Cyprinodontiformes; Poeciliidae. The transcript has 3 exons. The record is from RefSeq and is a predicted model, not a curated record.